RNAcentral lists this non-coding RNA (87 nucleotides) under Trypanosoma brucei brucei TREU927. Lineage: Eukaryota; Euglenozoa; Kinetoplastea; Trypanosomatida; Trypanosomatidae. The record is from RNAcentral.
CUCCAUGAUGCCAUGACAAGACUAUAAGAGCACAGUUUGAACUGACUUCACAAGACGGACGAGAACGUCGCUGCAAUAUUCUGAUGA